AUAUUUCGAUAUUAUGUCGAAUUAACUAAUUGCAAUAUGAUUAUCAAACGGUGCAUAUCGACAUCUAUUUAUCAUUUUCAAAAAACUAAAAAUAUCACAGAAUCCGAUCCUAUUCAGAGAUUAUUUCUCGAAAAAAUUAGAGAAUAUACUCAAAACAAACAAAAAUCGAGUAAGAUGUUGUAUGAUGCAUCUCCCGAAUUAGAAAAAAGGAUAAGUGAUGCUCUUACAAAACUAACCAAUCUAUAUUCACAAGGGCAAAAGGAUAAAGAUUUGGAUAAAUUUCCUGAAUUUACAUUUGAAGAUCCAAAAUUAGAGCUUAUUGAUAUGGAGAAAUAAUUUAGCAUAAUGGGAAAAUUGUCAACCAUUUGAAAAUUUUAUUUAACAAUUUUUAAAAUUAUGCUUUAAUUCUUUUAUUAAAAAGAUUAUUAAUUAUGUAUAAUUAUUUUUUUGCUAGUAGAAUAAAAAGAAUUGCAAUUUAUAUUGAUAUUUUUCUGAAAUUUAUACAAAACUUAUUCAAUACUUAGAUUGAUUUUAUUUACAUCUUUAAACAAUGUUAUAUAAAAAAAUUCAUAUUUUCUUUACAAAAAAGUUAACUAUAAACUAUGGGCAAAGCAAAAAACAUUUUGAAAUUUUUUGUUUCUCGUGAGGCAAUAUUUGGUGCAUUGUCACAAAUGAUAUAGUAUUUUUUUAUUCCCCAAAAUGAAAUAUAAUGUUGGCAAUGUUUAUGGCUGGAUAUAACUUGCUAAAAUUUGAAUCCCUUUCUUGUUCCAUAUAAUAUAAUAUCACAUUUUUAUCUAUCCCUUCUUUCAAUUCAUAUAAAUUUUUUAUACAUUACAAGUGAACUGAAUUUUAUUUCUUAAUAUUAGGAAAUUAUGUAUAAAAUAAAAAGUCAUAAUUUUAGUAUAUAUGAGAGCUCAUUAAAAUAUUUUGCACAAGUUUUCCAGCCCAAUAAUAAUUUUGUGCAACUUGCCUGGCCCAUUAAAAUUUGUCUUUUUCAAAAAGUCAAAAUUUAUAAAUGGCCCAAUUUUAUUAGAAAUGGCCCAAUUUUAUACAUAUUUUCUGCCCAUAACAUUUUUAAUAUAUAUAUCGUAUUUUUCCCCAAUGCCAUUUAAGGCCCUAGUAUCUCUCCUCCAUUGCUAUCUAUUUUUACAAGACCUUUUUAUUAUGAUUCUGUAUUGAGCAUUUGUAAUUGGAUCAUAUCACAAAUAAAUUGUUUAAUUUAUUGUUAAUUUACUUUAUUAUCAAUAGAUUAAA
Gordionus sp. m RMFG-2023 is the source of this 1254-nucleotide long non-coding RNA. RefSeq lists it as uncharacterized. The record is from RefSeq and is a predicted model, not a curated record. NCBI's taxonomy places the organism in Eukaryota, Metazoa, Nematomorpha, Gordioida, Chordodea, Parachordodidae. The transcript is spliced from 3 exons.